Molecule: long non-coding RNA, 1249 nt
Organism: Oncorhynchus keta (chum salmon)
Lineage: Eukaryota; Metazoa; Chordata; Actinopteri; Salmoniformes; Salmonidae
Exons: 3
Source: RefSeq, a predicted model, not a curated record
UUGUGCCCGCUGGCUGCUCGUUGAGGAAUCCUGCUCUCUGUGUUCUACCUGGACUGUAAGCAGCCGAAAGGGAAACCAUAAAACCUGUGUUCCUGUAACAGUGCUAAGUGUUUUACUAUUGGGAGGUUUUGCUGGUCAUUGUUUGCCUUUAUACAGAGCUGAUCAUGUCAUCCCGGUGACGUAACUGUCACAUGGUGCGUGAUGUAAGUAGUUUUCCAGUCAACUACAAUUUUGUAAUUGUCCGUGACUUAUGUUUUAUACAACACCUUAUUGCUAUCUGAUAUAACCUAGGCCUAAUGCUUUUUGAAAGUGAUGUGUGCCUGUGGUAUAAUUGGCAGUUCAUACAUUAGUGCGAGGCAUAUUGACAAUUAUAAACUGGGUGGUACAAGCCCUGAAUUCAGAUUUGGCUGAAAGCCAUGGUAUACCAUGGGUCAUUUUACUGAUCUAAUUACGUUGGUAACCAGUUUAUAAUAGCAAUAAGGCUCCUCAGGGUUUGUGAUAUAUGGCCAAUAUACCACGGCCAAGGGCUGUGUCUAGGAACCCCGCGUUGCAUCUUGCCUAAGAACAGCCCUUAGCCGUGGUGUAAUGGCCAUAUAUCACACCUCCUCGGGCCUUAUUGCUUAAUUCGUGACCACUCAUGUAUGUCAUGUAGCUAAGGAUGUAUGUCCUGAAGGAACCAGUGCAGGACUAGGUAGACCAUGGCAUAUAGACAAUGCUGGUAUGUCAUGUAGCUAAGGAUGUAUGUCCUGAAGGAACCAGUGCAGGACUAGGUAGACCAUGGCAUAUAGACAAUGCUGGUAUGUCAUGUAGCUAAGGAUGUAUGUCCUGAAGGAACCAGUGCAGGACUAGGUAGACCAUGGCAUAUAGACAAUGCUGGUAUGUCAUGUAGCUAAGGAUGUAUGUCCUGAAGGAACCAGUGCAGGACUAGGUAGACCAUGGCACAUAGACAAUGCUGGUAUGUCAUGUAGCUAAGGAUGUGUGUCCUGAAGGAACCAGUGCAGGACUAGGUAGACCAUGGCAUAUAGACAAUGCUGGUAUGUCAUGUAGCUAAGGAUGUAUGUCCUGAAGGAACCAGUGCAGGACUAGGUAGACCAUGGCAUAUAGACAAUGCUGGUAUGUCAUGUAGCUAAGGAUGUAUGUCCUGAAGGAACCAGUGCAGGACUAGGUAGACCAUGGCAUAUAGACAAUGCUGGUAUGUCAUGUAGCUAAGGAUGUAUGUCCUGAAGGAACCAGUGCAGGACUAGGUAGA